Octopus sinensis (East Asian common octopus) is the source of this 271-nucleotide long non-coding RNA. RefSeq lists it as uncharacterized. The record is from RefSeq and is a predicted model, not a curated record. Lineage: Eukaryota; Metazoa; Mollusca; Cephalopoda; Octopoda; Octopodidae. The transcript has 3 exons.
CCUGUGGGUUUUAACUGAAAAUGACAGAUGUUACUCUUUGCCUCUAUUUUCUUUAAAGUAGACACCUUCAACUCCAUACGAUGUAUAUAUAUUCGAUAGCUUUGUUUCCACUUCUCGUCCUUUAUGCUGUUACAAAUAACAUUGACGCUGCAGGAUGUAAAGGAUGUUACUAUGAUGGACACUGCUUUUGUAAUAAUCAAAAAGGCAUUUAUAAAGGAAAGUAUGAAUGUAAGACACUUCAAUGCAAAAGGAAAAGUCUAACAAUUAUUGA